Long non-coding RNA from Oncorhynchus tshawytscha (Chinook salmon), 582 nucleotides. NCBI's taxonomy places the organism in Eukaryota, Metazoa, Chordata, Actinopteri, Salmoniformes, Salmonidae. The record is from Ensembl.
GGGGGAGGAGGAGGAGGAAGGGACAGAGCCGGGGGAGGAGGAGGAGGAAGGGACAGAGCAGUGAGAGAGGAGAGGUAGAGAGGAGAGGUAGAGAGCAGAGGUAGAGAGGAAAGAGAGAGUAGAGAGACAGGGUAAAGAGGAGAGGGAGAGAGCAGAGGUAGAGAGCAGAGGUAGAGAGAGGAAAGAGAGAGUAGAGAGACAGGGUAAAGAGAGGAGAGGGAGAGAGCAGAGGUAGAGAGAGGAAAGAGAGAGUAGAGAGACAGGGUAAAGAGAGGAGAGGGAGAGAGCAGAGGUAGAGAGAGGAAAGAGAGAAGAGAGAGACAGGGUAAAGAGAGGAGGUAGAGAGCAGAGGUAGAGAGAGGAAAGAGAGAGUAGAGAGACAGGGUAAAGAGGAGAGGGAGAGAGCAGAGGUAGAGAGCAGAGGUAGAGAGGAAAGAGAGAGUAGAGAGACAGGGUAAAGAGAGGAGAGGGAGAGAGCAGAGGUAGAGAGAGGAAAGAGAGAGUAGAGAGACAGGGUAAAGAGAGGAGGUAGAGAGCAGAGGUAGAGAGAGGAAAGAGAGAUUAGAGAGACAGGGUAAAGAG